RNAcentral lists this ribosomal RNA (271 nucleotides) under Escherichia coli. Its description in RNAcentral is "partial 23S ribosomal RNA". It matches the Rfam family "Bacterial large subunit ribosomal RNA", at positions 1 to 263 of the family's 2925-position model. Lineage: Bacteria; Pseudomonadati; Pseudomonadota; Gammaproteobacteria; Enterobacterales; Enterobacteriaceae. The record is from RNAcentral.
GGGUUGUGAGGUUAAGCGACUAAGCGUACACGGUGGAUGCCCUGGCAGUCAGAGGCGAUGAAGGACGUGCUAAUCUGCGAUAAGCGUCGGUAAGGUGAUAUGAACCGUUAUAACCGGCGAUUUCCGAAUGGGGAAACCCAGUGUGUUUCGACACACUAUCAUUAACUGAAUCCAUAGGUUAAUGAGGCGAACCGGGGGAACUGAAACAUCUAAGUACCCCGAGGAAAAGAAAUCAACCGAGAUUCCCCCAGUAGCGGCGAGCGAACGGGGA